GUGGGGAAUAUUGGACAAUGGGCGAAAGCCUGAUCCAGCCAUGCCGCGUGUGUGAAGAAGGUCUUCGGAUUGUAAAGCACUUUAAGUUGGGAGGAAGGGCAGUAAGUUAAUACCUUGCUGUUUUGACGUUACCGACAGAAUAAGCACCGGCUAACUUCGUGCCAGCAGCCGCGGUAAUACGAAGGGUGCAAGCGUUACUCGGAAUUACUGGGCGUAAAGCGCGCGUAGGUGGUUUUGUAAGUUGGAGGUGAAAUCCCCGGGCUCAACCUUGGAACUGCCUCCAAAACUGCAUGACUAGAGUACGGUAGAGGGUAGUGGAAUUUCCUGUGUAGCGGUGAAAUGCGUAGAUAUAGGAAGGAACGCCAGUGGCGAAGGCGACUACCUGGACUGAUACUGACACGGAGGUGCGAAAGCGUGGGGAGCAAACAGGAUUAGAUACCCGUGUAGUCC
This 450-nucleotide ribosomal RNA is filed under the name uncultured bacterium. RNAcentral's name for it is "partial 16S ribosomal RNA". It matches the Rfam family "Bacterial small subunit ribosomal RNA", at positions 354 to 796 of the family's 1533-position model. The record is from RNAcentral.